CCACAUGCAUCUCACCCACCACCGCCAUUAAAACACCACCAACAACAACAACAACAUCCCAAACAACAACAACAUCCCAAACAACAACAACAACCCAAACAACAACAACAUCCCAAACAACAACAACAUCCCAAACAACAACAACAACCCAAACAACAACAACAUCCCAAACAACAACAGCAACAACAACAACAAGAAAAAUGGCAAUAACAACUCACCUAGGGUUUUCAAUUUUUUUCUUUGAUUUUGGAGAUCUCCGAAGAUUUUCAACGUGAUUUAGCUUCUUUCAAGUGCCAACAACUUUCUCCGCUGCCGAUGUACGCUGCCGCCGACAAUCUAUAGAACUUCCGGUGAUGAGAUUUUGGUGAGAGGGGAAGGAAUUUGCUUGAGGGAAACGUGAGAAUGAGGAGGGUAAUUUCGUCCAAAAUGUGGUGAUUUGGCUAAUGUUGAAAGAAAAAAAUUUGAGGGGUUAAAGUUGAAAAAUGCCUUCUUUUUUUGGCUUGUUUUGUAAAUUUCCCAUUCAACUUCACACGGUCAAUAAAUACGAAUCACGUCCUGCGCACGAGUCACAGCGUUGAAAUGGAUUAGGAUGCAGCGUCAACAUAAUAACUCUGGUGGGUUGUCAAUUUGUUUUUUAAAAUUGGAGGGCCCCACUUGCAAUUUGAACGAACGGCAUCGGUGUCAGGAUUUUUAGGACAUAAUUUUGGGGCAACUUGAUAAUUGGUCCCACUAAUCUAAAAUCUUAAAGGAAUACACAAAUUGAUGGUUCCUUAUCCUCAAAACUUUACCUUAAAAUUUUUAUUAAAAUAAUGUUAAGAUUCGUAUUCCGAAAAUCCAUACUGUUUUUCUUUUUUUUUUCUUUUAAUUAAAGUUUGAAUAAGGAAAGUUUUGGUAUGCGACGGAUGGUUUGCAGUGGGCACAAUAAUUAUUUCAAAUAGAUUUAAUGUGAAGGAUGUAUUCAAUAAUUUAUUUGAUAGUGGUCGAAGAAAAAGAAAUUCAAUAAAGUUUAAGAAAAUUUUCUUCACGAAUUUUUGAAAUGGAACAUAAAAAAAUCUUUCUAUCAAAAGAGCUUUCUCUACAACAAUUAAAAAUAAAUAAUCAUCGUGUGCGGGAUUUUUCUUAUUUUGUAA
RNAcentral lists this long non-coding RNA (1130 nucleotides) under Citrus x clementina. RNAcentral describes it as "Citrus clementina (C. clementina) long non-coding RNA (CCLE_LNC003108)". The record is from RNAcentral. Lineage: Eukaryota; Viridiplantae; Streptophyta; Magnoliopsida; Sapindales; Rutaceae.